This 381-nucleotide long non-coding RNA is filed under the name Equus caballus (horse). Its description in RNAcentral is "lncRNA (ENSECAG00000057414.1)". Lineage: Eukaryota; Metazoa; Chordata; Mammalia; Perissodactyla; Equidae. The record is from RNAcentral.
AUGAAGACGUGAUCUAUCGUGCAUGCAGCCAUUUAAGACAUAGGCAAUGUCCAAAAGAGGUGCCACUAUGGAAAUGUGUAUCAGUCAAGGUUAUUUGGAUACACGCAACAGAAACUGACUCUGGGGGUGGGUCAGAACACAAAGGUGAGUGAACAGACAGCAGAGCCACAGCCUCACAGACCAGAGAUGCAAGUCCCCAGCGGGGAGGAGGAGUUGCUGCCAGAUGGAAGACUAUUAGUUUUGCACAGAUAGUGACCAAGGCCCAGAUGCUAAAGUGUGAAUGUCCCAGAGCAGGCUGGCAAAUGGCAAGAGCAGAAGAGGCCUAGCAAAAACUGAGCAAAAAGAAAACAGGAGAAAUCCAGAACAUUUCAUCAUGGAGAC